UUUAUGGCGAUGAAAGGAAUUAGUACAUGAGAAUCCAGCUGCAGAGAGGAUAUCAUAUGGUGUGAGAUAUCUGCUGUUCAUCACAUGGAACCGGUCCUGGAGCCACUGUAUGAAAGUGCAGCGUGUCAGCCGGCGUUAACGGCCAAUGAAGAGAGCUGCGAAAGGGUCGCAGUUAACUAGGGUGGUACCGCCGAGCUUUUCGGUCCCUUUU
Molecule: non-coding RNA, 211 nt
Organism: Dorea sp. 42_8
Lineage: Bacteria; Bacillati; Bacillota; Clostridia; Lachnospirales; Lachnospiraceae
Source: Rfam